This is a long non-coding RNA of Dromiciops gliroides (monito del monte), 2154 nucleotides long. RefSeq lists it as uncharacterized. The record is from RefSeq and is a predicted model, not a curated record. Lineage: Eukaryota; Metazoa; Chordata; Mammalia; Microbiotheria; Microbiotheriidae. The transcript is spliced from 3 exons.
GUCCUCCUGAAUCCAAGGCCAGUGCUUCAUCCACUGUGCCACCUAGCUGCCCCCAUCUUUAUUUCAAUAGAAUUGAUUUCCAUUGUUAUGCAUUUCAAGACAUUCUUCUGAGAAGGGAUCCAUGGGCAUCACCAGGCUGUCUAAAGGAGUCCAUGAUACAAAAAAGAUUAAGAACUUCUGAUUUAUGUCUUGGAGGAGGCUGAGAUUCUCUAGGCUUGAAAGCAGCUGGGAUUGGGGACCCUGGGCCAGAAGAUCCCCAAAAGCUCAUCAAGAGGCAGUGAAUAGACUGGGAAGUUAUCAAGGUCCUCGGAUGGGUCUUUCUCCAUAGUUUGGCCAAGAGGAGAGUCGUGCAUGCAGAGGGGAGGAGGGAUGUGCCCUUUCAGGGGAGCAUGGUCUCCACUCACCCAGUGAAGCCAGCACUGCCACAGCCACCAGCAGGAGAGCCAAGAACAGGUAGAGAAUUCUCACGGAUGUGUGCAGGGACAGGUUCUUCUGACAGCGGCUACAGCUGGGCCCUGCUGGACCUGUGUGGGAAGAAGGGUAGGACUUACUCAGUCUCCAGGUCUGACCCUGGGGAUAGAGAUCUCCCUCUGUGAACUUGGCCAUGACCUCCCUCAGUUGGUGAUCAUACUGGGGAUGAGAAGAGAACAGUUUUCUACUCCCUUUUCCAGGCUUCUCAUCUGUCUUCUGGUUCUAGAGGCCUUUGGAAUGAGUGAGAUUAAGGUUCAGGCUGCGCUCAGGAUGUUUGACGUUAUUGGUCUAGACCGACCUGAGGCUCCAACAGAGGGCUGCUGCCUGGCACAGGUUCCUCUUCUGCUACACAUAAGGCUUCUCCGUCGCCUCCCGUGGACCUCACUGAGAAGGAGUUGGUGCCUGUCAGGACCCCAUCCCACCCCAUCUCCAGCUGCUUCACUCACCAGCAAUUUCCACCACUUCCUCCAACCCUUGACCCUGGUGCCUAAAGCUGCUCAUUUUUCUCUGAACAGAAGAGUGGGCCAUUUAAGUGAGAACUAGGUGGCUAAGGACCUGAGUUAUAGGGGAUGGGACUUCUAUGCAAAUUUAACUUGCAGAGCCAUUUUCUAAGCAAGGAAAUGCUUUUGAAGAGAUACAAACAUCCAUCUUACCAUUAGUACUAAGCUAAGGUGUUCUAGACCUGGGUUCUAGUCUCACAGUCUGCCAUUUACUGCCUAUAUGACCUUAGGGGAUACAUGUCACCUCUCUUUUCUCAGUUUCUUCAUCUAUAAAAUGGAGUUAAUAAUACCCAGAGUGCCUCCUGAUGAGGCUAUAGAAUAUCAAAAUGGGAAGGGAAUUUAGAGGUUGUCAGAUCCAUCCUAGGGGCCUGUGAGUAUGGGGCAGGGUUCCUUAUUUUCAAAAGAGGAAAAUGAGCUAGAAAGAGUAAGUGAUUUCUCCAAGUGAUUUCUCCAAGUGGAGAUUGAAGGGAGAAAUGGGAGAGAGGAAGCUGGCUGUGACCAGUGUUCAAGGCCAGACUAGACCUUCAGUCUCCUGAUCCUCAACCCAGGUUUAUCCUGAAGGGCUUCUUCAAUUUACUUAAAUCCAUCAAACAUGUGGUGCCCAGGACUGAAUAUGAUUCUUCCUCUGGAUGUGUCCUGACUGGGUCAGCAUACAGAGGGACCACCAGCUCCCUGGACACUCUGCUUCCAAGGAUGAAGUUUAGCAUGGUGGUGGCCUUUUUUUUUUUUUUUUUUAGUGAGGCAAUUGGGGCUAAGUGACUUGCCCAGGGUCACACAGCUGGUAAGUGUCUGAGGCCGGAUUUGAACUCAGGUCCUCCUCACUCCAGGGCCGGUGCUCUAUCCACUGUGCCACCGAGCUUCCCCGGUGGUGGCCUUUUAACCUCUGUAGUCAUCAUAUGUAAGUUGGGAUAAUGUAUGUUUUGUGGUGAUGGGGGGAAAGGUGUAUGCUAUAUGAUCUCUCUAAGAUUCUUUUAAAUUUCAACAUUUGAUUUCUUUGUGGAAACAGAAGUCUUUCCCAAAAUCAUGAAGCAGAUCAACAUCAGAAGACAAGACUUUAGAACCCCAACCUAGCUCUCAUCUGUAAAAUGAAGGGCUUGGUAUUGAUGUCCUUAAUUAAAAUCACUUCCAACUCUGAAUCUAUGACCCUAAGAUCAGAUACUUUUAUCUCUGAACCUUGUGGUCU